This 301-nucleotide ribosomal RNA is filed under the name uncultured bacterium. RNAcentral describes it as "partial 16S ribosomal RNA". It matches the Rfam family "Bacterial small subunit ribosomal RNA", at positions 509 to 809 of the family's 1533-position model. The record is from RNAcentral.
CAGUAGCCACGGUAAUACGGAGGGUGCAAGCGUUAUCCGGAUUUACUGGGUUUAAAGGGUGUGUAGGCGGGCUAUUAAGUCAGGGGUGAAAUCUCCGAGCUCAACUCGGAAACUGCCUUUGAUACUAUUAGUCUUGAAUUAUGUUGAGGUUGGCGGAAUAUAACAUGUAGCGGUGAAAUGCAUAGAUAUGUUAUAGAACACCGAUUGCGAAGGCAGCUGACUAAGCAUAUAUUGACGCUGAUGCACGAAAGCGUGGGGAUCAAACAGGAUUAGAUACCCGGGUAGUCCCUGUCUCUUAUAA